This 351-nucleotide ribosomal RNA is filed under the name uncultured bacterium. RNAcentral describes it as "bacterial SSU rRNA". It matches the Rfam family "Bacterial small subunit ribosomal RNA", at positions 29 to 400 of the family's 1533-position model. The record is from RNAcentral.
AACGAACGCUGGCGGCAUGCCUAACACAUGCAAGUCGAACGGGAUCCUAGCUUGCUAGGUGAGAGUGGCGGACGGGUGAGUAACACGUGGGAAUCUGCCUUUUGGUUCGGGAUAACCGCGGGAAACUGCGGCUAAUACCGAAUGCCCUCGAGAGAGGAAAGAUUUAUCGCCAGAAGAGGAGCCCGCGUCCGAUUAGGUAGUUGGUGGGGUAAAGCCUACCAAGCCGACGAUCGGUAGCUGGUCUGAGAGGAUGAUCAGCCACACUGGGACUGAGAUACGGCCCAAGACUCCCUACGGGAGGCAGCAGUGGGAAUAUUGGACAAUGGGGGCACCCUGAUCCAGCAAUGCCGC